Molecule: ribosomal RNA, 253 nt
Filed under: uncultured bacterium
Lineage: Bacteria
Description: partial 16S ribosomal RNA
Rfam family: Bacterial small subunit ribosomal RNA
Source: RNAcentral
UACGUAGGGGGCAAGCGUUGUCCGGAAUCAUUGGGCGUAAAGAGCGUGUAGGCGGUUCGAUAAGUCUGCUGUGAAAGUCCAGGGCUCAACCCUGGGAUGCCGGUGGAUACUGUCGGGCUAGAGUACGGAAGAGGCGAGUGGAAUUCCCGGUGUAGCGGUGAAAUGCGCAGAUAUCGGGAGGAACACCUAUUGCGAAGGCAGCUCGCUGGGACGUCACUGACGCUGAGACGCGAAAGUGUGGGGAGCAAACAGG